This 1479-nucleotide ribosomal RNA is filed under the name uncultured fungus. Its description in RNAcentral is "eukaryotic LSU rRNA". The stretch from base 841 to 1479 matches the Rfam family "Eukaryotic large subunit ribosomal RNA", at positions 1 to 667 of the family's 3401-position model. Lineage: Eukaryota; Fungi. The record is from RNAcentral.
CUUGGUCAUUUAGAGGAAGUAAAAGUCGUAACAAGGUUGAUCUUUCCAGUAGACGUCUACUGAAGCCUUUGCAGUACGACUCUAAACCGCUGCAAGUUGGUUGACUCCAGCAACACUAUCGAAUUGCGGGAAAUUCCUUGAAGCUUUUAACUACCAACCUGAUGACGCAAGUCAUCCAGGGGUCUAAUGUAAUCCAUUAGAGGGUCAAAAUGUUAAAGGAUUGGAUGAUCCGCAGCCAAGUCCCGGCCAAAUGCUGGGAAAGGUUCACAGACUAAGUGGUAGUGGGUGAGAUAAUCUCGCUUAAGAUAUAGUCGGGCCCUCAGGGAAACUUGAGACUGGUAAUCCAUUGUCCACCACGCGUCAUGGCAGCUCAUUGGUGGCAAACGCGUUGGUCGAGUAAACGGAUAUCAGUAAGGAUCAGCCGUUCCGUAGGUGAACCUGUGGAAGGAUCAUUACCGUGUCAAUGGCCUUCGGGUCGAUCACGCUCCCUGCUUAACUCUGGUUCCUUUGGCAAGUGGACUUGUCAAACAUAAACGCAUGCAAACGGUAUCGGUCAGAGUCUUGGGAAAUCAAAAACUUUCAACAACGGAUCUCUUGGUUCCAGCAUCGAUGAAGAACGCAGCGAAAUGCGAUAAAUAAUGUGAAUUGCAGAAUUCCGUGAAUCAUCGAGUCUUUGAACGCACAUUGCACUCCUUGGCAUUCCGAGGAGUACGCCUGUUCGAGCGUCAUGAACGAUCAAGUCUGACUUGGAUUCGAUUUUGCAUCGCAAUCUCGUAAUGACAUCGGCGACGGACCACAGUGAUGACUCGCUCGCGUCCUCGCCUCAACCUCUCUUCCAGUUGACCUCGGAUCAGGCGGGGAUACCCGCUGAACUUAAGCAUAUCAAUAAGCGGAGGAAAAGAAACCAACCGGGAUUGCCUCAGUAACGGCGAGUGAAGCGGCAAGAGCUCAGAUUUGAAAGCCGGGCGUCUCGCUCCGCAUUGUAAUCUGCAGAGGAUGUCUCGCGAACGAUCAGUCUCAAGUCUCCUGGAACGGAGCGUCAUGGAGGGUGAGAAUCCCGUGGAGAUGAGAUCCGACGCAUGUGAGACUCCUUCGACGAGUCGAGUUGUUUGGGAAUGCAGCUCUAAUGGGGAGGUAAAUUCCUUCUAAAGCUAAAUAUCGGCUGGAGACCGAUAGCGCACAAGUAGAGUGAUCGAAAGAUGAAAAGCACUUUGAAAAGAGAGUCAAACAGCACGUGAAAUUGUUGAAAGGGAAGCGCUGUCCAUCAGACGUGUGGAGGAGGAUCACUCGACGUCUUCGUCGAGGCAUUCUUCCUCCACAGGCCCACAUCGGUUGGGACGGUCAGAGAAAGGCGAUGGGAAUGUGGCUCUUCGGAGUGUUAUAGCCCGUCGUGCAAUAUGGCCCGUCUCGACCGAGGUCUGCGCUUCGGCUCGGAUGUGGGCGUAAUGGUGGUCAGCGGCCCGUCUUGAAACACGGACC